This 296-nucleotide ribosomal RNA is filed under the name uncultured Desulfocapsa sp. RNAcentral's name for it is "partial 16S ribosomal RNA". It matches the Rfam family "Bacterial small subunit ribosomal RNA", at positions 1085 to 1382 of the family's 1533-position model. The record is from RNAcentral. Lineage: Bacteria; Pseudomonadati; Thermodesulfobacteriota; Desulfobulbia; Desulfobulbales; Desulfocapsaceae.
GUCCGCAACGAGCGCAACCCCUAUCUUUAGUUGCCAUCAUUGAGUUGGGCACUCUAAAGAGACUGCCGGUGUCAAACCGGAGGAAGGUGGGGAUGACGUCAAGUCCUCAUGGCCUUUAUGACCAGGGCUACACACGUACUACAAUGGCCGGUACAAAGGGCAGCGACACAGCGAUGUGAAGCGAAUCCCGAAAAGCCGGUCUCAGUCCGGAUUGGAGUCUGCAACUCGACUCCAUGAAGUUGGAAUCGCUAGUAAUCGCGGAUCAGCACGCCGCGGUGAAUACGUUCCCGGGCCUU